CAUAUAUAUUAUAUGUAUAUUAAAUGCAUGUACAUCUUAAUUUUAAUGCAAAUAUAUAUAUAUAUAUUUGAGAUGAGGUCUUGCUGUGUUGCUCAGGCUGGUCUUGAACUCCUGGGUUCAAAAAUUCCUCCACCUCAGCCUCUCAAGUAGCUGGGAUUAUAGGCAUGUGCCACUGCACCUGGCUAAUUCAUAUUUUUAUACAGAUUCAGUACAUGUUUCUAUUUAAGAUUAAGUACAAGGGAUUAAAAUGUACUCAAUAAAAAAAGAUUAGAGAUUAGAAACACAUUUUAAUUAGAAAAUUGCCACCUCAAAUUCAUUUAGGAAGUAGGCAGGUAUAAAUAAAAAAUAGAACCACUUAGAGACUUUUCUGAAUAAGUGGCCCUGGGCUGGAAUUCUGGAGGGCUGUAUUCUGGUCACACCCCUAACUCUGAUUUUCCUUGUGACUUUUAGUAAUUGAUGGAUUCUUCAGGAGCUAGAAACAUAUUGGAUGAUCAAUAAAUACCUUUGAAUUUCAUUAAGUCCAGGAAAAAGCAUUUCAGGUCUUUUUUUCCCACAGGAUGAUUUUCAAUGCCAUUCAGAGGAAAUCUUGGGACAAACCCGGGAAAUGACAGGCUCCUGGCUCCUAUCUUUGGAGAUUUCAGAUGUUCUGGAUCAAGGGACCCUCGUGGUUACAUCAGGACUACCCAGAUAAUCCUUGAUACUCUCCUCAUCUCAAGGCCCUUAACUUCAUCCUAUCUGCAAAGUCCCUCUUGCCAAGUAAGGAUCUUAAUCUGUUGCCCAGGCUGGAGUGCAGAGACAUGGUCUUGUCUCACUGCAAGCUCUGCCCCCUAGUCCCAGGUGAUCCUCCCAUUUCAGCCUCCUGAGUAGCUGGGACUACAGGUACAUGCCACCACACCUAGCUAACUAAAAAAAAAAAAACUUUUUUGCUGAGGCUGGUUAUGAACUCCUGGGCUCAUGUGAUCCACCUGCCUCAGCCUCCCACAGUACUGGGAUUACAGGCAUAAGCCACUAUGCCUGGUCAAAACAUUUAAAAAAUAAUAAUUUCCUUUCCUGUAUCCAUACUGUUAUGGAAUCCCCUCUCAUGUGAACUCUGAACUUGGCCAUAUGACAUAAUUUGUUCAGUAAGACUAUUGCAAACGUGAUGGAAGCAGAUACUUGAAAAAUGCUUGCACACUAGGACUUGCCUUCUCUUGUACUCUUCAGCCCUUUCUGACUACCAUGUGAAGCGGCCUGGUGCAUAUACUAAGUGAGAAGAUACAUGUAACCUAGGUACCUUUGUCACCAAGCCAAUAGCUAAUACGGGAGGUAGCACCAAUCACUAAGCAGCACAAGCCACCAGACAUUUAGAUGAGGCCACCUGAGGUCAUCCAGGCAGCAGCUGACCUGAUAGAAGCCACAGGUAUGUGAAAGAGGCCAGCAGAGGGAAGACAAGCUGGGCCAGACCAGAAGAAUUGCCUGGCUGAUCAACAGAAUUAUGAACCAGAUUAAAUUUUGGGGGGAUGGUUGGCUAUGUGGCAAAAGUUAAUUAAUGUGGGAAGGGAUAGGUAAACUAGAAACCACAGUUGAGAGUAAGGCUGAAUUAAGGAAAGUUUAGUUGCAAGGGAAUGGUGACAAAGAAGAGCGCUUAAAGGCAAAAUCAUAGACAAGGCUUUUUGGAGAGAUCGUUUGCACAAGUACAGGAGGGUACAUUGAGUCUGACCCCUCCUUCCUCCUCCACCUUCAUGCCCUGACUCUGUGGAUGUUCAAUGUCACAAGAAAUGCUCCAAUAAUCACUUUCAUGUAAUGGUAUAAUGUCAUAGGAAAGAGCGUAAAAAUUCCCUGUUCUGAUUCUCCUAUUUAAUGGGAAGCUCAAAAAGAAAAAAUGACUUGCCUGUUUCAUCCUGAAAGUUUAGCUUAUACAGCGAUGUGCCACAUAAAGAUAUUUUGGGAUCGACAAUGGACCGCAUAUGUGACAGGUGGUGCCAUAAGAUUACAAUGGAGCUGAAAAAUUCCUGUUGCCUUGUGACCUGUUGCCUGUAGCCAUGGUACUGUUGUGGCACAAUGCAUUGCAUUUGUGGUGAUGCUGAUAGAAACAAACCGACUGUGCUGUGGGUGUUUCAAAGUAUAGAACACGCAAUUAUGUACAGUUUAUAGUACUUGACAAUGAUAAUAGAUGCCUAUGUCGCUGGUUUGUGUAUUUACUUUUUAUCAUUAUUUUAGAGUGUUCUCCUUCUACUUAUUAAAAAAAAAAACU
This 2233-nucleotide long non-coding RNA is filed under the name Callithrix jacchus (white-tufted-ear marmoset). Its description in RNAcentral is "lncRNA (ENSCJAG00000080522.1)". The record is from RNAcentral. Lineage: Eukaryota; Metazoa; Chordata; Mammalia; Primates; Cebidae.